GGGGCCUACGGGAGGCAGCAGUGAGGAAUAUUGGACAAUGGGCGCAAGCCUGACCCAGCCAUGCCGCGUGCAGGAAGACGGUCCUAUGGAUUGUAAACUGCUUUUAUACAGGAAGAAACAACUCUACGUGUAGAGUCUUGACGGUACUGUAUGAAUAAGCACCGGCUAACUCCGUGCCAGCAGCCGCGGUAAUACGGAGGGCGCAAGCGUUAUCCGGAAUCAUUGGGUUUAAAGGGUCCGCAGGCGGAUUUAUAAGUCAGUGGUGAAAUCCUAUCGCUUAACGAUAGAACUGCCAUUGAUACUGUAAGUCUUGAAUUCGGUCGGAGUGGGCGGAAUGUGUAGUGUAGCGGUGAAAUGCAUAGAUAUUACACAGAACACCGAUAGCGAAGGCAGCUCACUAGGCCUGAAUUGACGCUCAGGGACGAAAGCGUGGGGAUCAAACAGAAUUAGAUACCCUGGUAGUCCACGCUGUAAACGAUGAUUACUCGUUUUCGGCGAUAUACAGUCGGAGACUAAGCGAAAGUGAUAAGUAAUCCACCUGGGGAGUACGAUCGCAAGGUUGAAACUCAAAGGAAUUGACGGGG
This 584-nucleotide ribosomal RNA is filed under the name uncultured Sphingobacteriales bacterium. Its description in RNAcentral is "bacterial SSU rRNA". It matches the Rfam family "Bacterial small subunit ribosomal RNA", at positions 334 to 918 of the family's 1533-position model. Lineage: Bacteria; Pseudomonadati; Bacteroidota; Sphingobacteriia; Sphingobacteriales. The record is from RNAcentral.